Molecule: non-coding RNA, 70 nt
Organism: Dipodomys ordii (Ord's kangaroo rat)
Lineage: Eukaryota; Metazoa; Chordata; Mammalia; Rodentia; Heteromyidae
Source: Rfam
GGGAAGGUGGCUCAGUGGUAGAGUGCUUGCUUGGUAUGCAUGAGGCCUUGGGUUUGAUUCCUCAUUACCA